Molecule: long non-coding RNA, 1219 nt
Organism: Engraulis encrasicolus (European anchovy)
Lineage: Eukaryota; Metazoa; Chordata; Actinopteri; Clupeiformes; Engraulidae
Exons: 3
Source: RefSeq, a predicted model, not a curated record
AUCAGUAUCAUUAUUAAGAAAUGAAUGUCACACCACUCACCAAUAUAUUUCGUGAUCCACAAACAAAUGUAAUAACAUUCGCAAAUAUAAUUCAUACAUUUCAUGAUCCACAAACAAAUGUAACAACAUUCACAAAUAUAAUUCAUGAUGCACAAAUGAAUGUAACCCCAUUCACAAAUGCCAGCGCAGUUCUAUUAAUUUGCAAACCGGUCUACAUAUAUUCGCAAGCCCUAUACAUAUUUGUGACUUCCAUUGUAUUUGUGUGUGGAUUUUUGAGACUGUCCUGACGGUAUUUGACACACAAAUGUGCUCAGCCAAUCACAUCAGCCGGCGUUCGAGCGUAAGGUUGAAGACAUUGCGCUUCUAUUACGCAGAGCAGGCUACUAGUGCGAAGCCACCAUAGAUCUGUAUAAAUAACUGGAAGUAGAGCCAUUACUGAAGUGCUCCCUGACGUAAACUCGGAAGCGUAUGAAGUUACUGACUUUCACAUCAUCUUUGUACAAAUAUGUCUGGAUCUGGACUAACGUGUGCCGUAAUCGGAUGUAACAAUAACAGCAGAAAGCUAAAAAUGUGGAAAAAGAGCGUAUGUGCGCUUCAUAGUCCACAGUUUAAAGAGGAUUGUCCAUGUUGUGUGCCCUACGGUGUACACCGCUUCCCCGGCCGUGCUGAGGAUGAAGACAUUCGCAAGAUGUGGAUUAAAAACGUACACCGAAAGGACUUUGCCCCCAAACAAGUAUUCAAGGGUGUGUGGAGUACACUUCCCUGACGGCAGACCAACGCAGGAACACCCAUAUCCCAUAAUAUGGGAUAUGAAUAUAGUAAAGCACCGUCAUGUGGAAGACCACCCCAAAGAGGAGAUGUCUCCAGCCCCCAACAGAGAGACCAUGUGAUGAGCCUCCUGUGACAGAUUCUGACACCGAAGUAGGGCAUAGCUUGGAGGAUAGUCUGUCUCCACACCAAUGUGAUGUUGGCACUCAGUGGCCAGAGCGUAGUGAUCAUGAUUGUUGUUCGAUGAAGUCAACAAAAGAUGCAAGCACACAAACCGAUCCUACACCAUCACUGUCAGAUCAUGACAUGGAUGAUAAAGUGUCAAAACUUUACACUGGACUAGACAUCAUCAGCUUUUGGCAACUUUUGAACACCAUCAUUGGCUUUCUUCCACAGUCGAAGACGUUCAAAUUACCAGUCCAUGAACAGCUAAGUGCUGGUCCUAAUGAGG